Molecule: long non-coding RNA, 1948 nt
Organism: Triticum aestivum (bread wheat)
Lineage: Eukaryota; Viridiplantae; Streptophyta; Magnoliopsida; Poales; Poaceae
Exons: 6
Source: RefSeq, a predicted model, not a curated record
GCGAGGAGCUCCCUACAUCACGUUCUGGAAACCCCUCCGUGACCGGAGUCCACCCCUUCCCCCACCCCACAAUACGUUCGGGCCUGCGGCGGCUGCGUCUUGCCCCGGCGACUCCGGGAUGGAAGAUGCGGGCUUGAGUUCUUGCUGGAUGCCAUCGACCGGUUUCCACUCCGGGAGGAUUUCACCGACAACCUUUAACAUUCAGAUCCGCUCCCCCUGGCAUUAUUACCUCCAGGUCAAGCCAACCCUGGCAUGCCGAUAGAUUCAAAAUGCUAGUUCUGGAUGCGGGCAGCAAGUUGGUGGCGGUGGCCCGGAGAAGGCACAGGGUGGCAUGCGCCGGCGACGGGAGGCAUCUCCCACUAGGUCUGUGCACUCAACUGACAGGGUCAACCCAGAGGCGCCCGGAUGGACAAAGAGACGCGCGAUCUACUGGGAUUAUUCCAUUGAAGAGGGGCACAACAGAGGAUGGUGCAGAAUGGGGUGGAUGUGGAUCAAUUGACGAGGAUCAAAGUGCGCGCACACUUGGUGCGGCGGCCCUGGAUUUAGUUGACCAAGACAUAAAUCAUCCGGGACUUUUCGAAGGGGGUUUCGAUCAAGCAAGGAGUCUGCUCUCGAGGCUGCGUGAAGGAGAUGUCGGAUGUAAAACAUAGAGAUCCAUGGCGGUCUGAAUAUACUUGUGUUGAUUGCAUUUUGACCCAUCUUCAGUUCAUUUUGUUGACCCAUCUGAUUACGAUGUCCUCCGGUUCUACAUCAACAUGCUGGGCUGUGACAAAAACGUCAUACGAAAGAAAUGGUUCUGGCACUUUCAUCCAAUACUUGCAGUGGCAUCUGGUCAGGACCUGAAGGAUGAGUUAACUCUUGGUGGUGAGUUAAUGUUAAAUGUCUGGAGAUGCAUGCAGCACGUGCUAAGUGCAAAAGAGAAGAGGAUGUACUGCGGGGUGGCUUGUGAGAUGGAGACGGAUUUUGAUCCCCGUUUUGUGGUACAUACCUUGCUUGUUGGCAUCUUAUGCUGCAUCAUUUUGUUGCUGUUGGAGAUACUGACUCUGGGAUGUUUGGAUACGAUGCGGGAAGAGCUAUGCAGGGGAGACGAUGAAGUGGGCUGGGAUAGCAUGAUGAUGAACUCUGAUUUGAUGGGCUACAUAAUUGAUUGGCUAAAGAAGAUAAAGGUAUUGUGGGUGAAAAACUAUGGACCUGUAUUGAAUUUGUAAUUCAAGACCUAAGCAGACUAAGUGAAAGUACUCCCUCUCUACAGUGGGAGUAUGUACGUGUGGUUGUAUGGACAGAUUACCAUCUAUCUGAAUUCGCAAUGUUAUACUUGGUGUUGGUGAUUCAGUCUCUUGCUUUAUAGCAAAUGUCAUGCUUGCUUGGCAACGGCUGCACUUGUAGAGGUGGUGUCCAGCGGCGGCGAUGAGGAUAUAGUUUCGGUGUGGGAGACGACCAGUGCGAGAUAUAAUAACUGCGGGUAGAUCGGGUAGCCGUUACAGCGGUCGUGGCAAGGAGGCGGCUCAGGCACAGCUAAAUGACUGAGCCGUGACCGCAAAAGAUGUUCCGUCUCUGCCUUACAAGCUGUCAUCUCAUUUAAUGCACCCACGAGUUGGCUUUAUUUGCCUGCAAUACGUCUACUAUACCGGCAGAAAUACAUCAACUAGCACAGAUCCACAUGCUAGCAGACGGGGAUGAUUUCAGGAGCAUCUGAGCCUGGGCUCCGAAUCGAAUAUCCGACUUAUUUAUCCUUGCUCUGUUUUUUGUGUACUAAGAUUGUUUGUUUGUACCCAGCAUGUGUACGUGAUGUGCCCUACCGCUGUGUGUACUUCCUACUAAUGUAUGUGCUUCCUGACACUGUUGAGCAUGCGUGUGUGUGUUCGCUGUCGUUAUUUAUUAACAUUGUCAUGCUCUUCUUACUUUUUCCUUAACAAUUCAUGAUCAAUACCGAACAUUAUUUUUUGAA